Grammomys surdaster is the source of this 174-nucleotide long non-coding RNA. RefSeq lists it as uncharacterized. The transcript is spliced from 3 exons. Lineage: Eukaryota; Metazoa; Chordata; Mammalia; Rodentia; Muridae. The record is from RefSeq and is a predicted model, not a curated record.
AGACUGUCCAAAGCAAACAUGGUGUGCAGAAGAAGAAAGAAUCUACGAUUCCAAUAAAUGUUGCUAUAAAUGUAACAAUGACUGCAGGACUACUCCUGUGAAUGUGACCAUUAAGUACAAUGGUUGUAGGAAGAGGAUCGAGAUGGCUAGAUGUGCAGGAGAGUGCAAAAGGAC